GAUGAACGCUGGCGGCGUGCCUAAUACAUGCAAGUCGAGCGAACGGACGAGAAGCUUGCUUCUCUGAUGUUAGCGGCGGACGGGUGAGUAACACGUGGAUAACCUACCUAUAAGACUGGGAUAACUUCGGGAAACCGGAGCUAAUACCGGAUAAUAUUUUGAACCGCAUGGUUCAAAAGUGAAAGACGGUCUUGCUGUCACUUAUAGAUGGAUCCGCGCUGCAUUAGCUAGUUGGUAAGGUAAAGGCUUACCAAGGCAACGAUGCAUAGCCGACCUGAGAGGGUGAUCGGCAACACUGGAACUGAGACACGGUCCAGACUCCUACGGGAGGCAGCAGUAGGGAAUCUUCCGCAAUGGGCGAAAGCCUGACGGAGCAACGCCGCGUGAGUGAUGAAGGUCUUCGGAUCGUAAAACUCUGUUAUUAGGGAAGAACAUAUGUGUAAGUAACUGUGCACAUCUUGACGGUACCUAAUCAGAAAGCCACGGCUAACUACGUG
This 497-nucleotide ribosomal RNA is filed under the name uncultured bacterium. RNAcentral describes it as "partial 16S ribosomal RNA". It matches the Rfam family "Bacterial small subunit ribosomal RNA", at positions 28 to 507 of the family's 1533-position model. The record is from RNAcentral.